ACGAAGGGGGCUAGCGUUGCUCGGAAUCACUGGGCGUAAAGCGCACGUAGGCGGCUUUCUAAGUCAGGGGUGAAAGCCCGGGGCUCAACCUCGGAAUUGCCUUCGAUACUGGACAUCUUGAGUACGGGAGAGGUGAGUGGAACUCCGAGUGUAGAGGUGAAAUUCGUAGAUAUUCGGAAGAACACCAGUGGCGAAGGCGACUCACUGGCCCGUUACUGACGCUGAGGCGCGAAAGCGUGGGGAGCAAACAGGA
Molecule: ribosomal RNA, 253 nt
Filed under: uncultured prokaryote
Description: partial 16S ribosomal RNA
Rfam family: Bacterial small subunit ribosomal RNA
Source: RNAcentral